Long non-coding RNA from Sinocyclocheilus rhinocerous, 335 nucleotides. RefSeq lists it as uncharacterized. The record is from RefSeq and is a predicted model, not a curated record. Lineage: Eukaryota; Metazoa; Chordata; Actinopteri; Cypriniformes; Cyprinidae. The transcript is spliced from 3 exons.
GUCCGUUGGCUUUCAAAGACAGACUCUGGAAUCAGUGGACCAUCAAAUACUGAUGUUAGAACAGAAAUAAUUUCCUUCAUCAGAAAGAUGAAGCUUUGUGCAACACAUCAAGAUUUUAAGUCAACUGCUGCGCAAUUCCUCAAGAGGUUUGAAGAUUUCCCAGCUCUUUGCUCAUACUUCAAGGAUCACUGGCUGGAAAUAGGACACACAUGGUCUGACUUUGGACGGUGCUACAACCAUGCCGACUCCGAUACAAACAAUCUUGUUGAAAGAUUUUUCCAUCGCCUAAAAUAUCAGUUUUUGGGUGGCAUUAGGAACCGUAGACUGGAUGAUCU